UACAGAGGAGCCAAGCGUUGUCCGGAUUGACUGGGCGUAAAGCGCACGUAGGUGGUUGGUUACGUGGUGUGUGAAAGCUCAGGGCUUAACCCUGAUAGGCCAUGCCAAACGGACCGACUCGAGGCUGAGCAGAGGCGGGUGGAAUUGCCGGUGUAGUGGUGAAAUGCGUAGAGAUCGGCAGGAACACCAAGGGGGAACCCAGCCCGCUGGGCCAGACCUGACACUGAGGUGCGACAGCGUGGGGAGCGAACGGG
RNAcentral lists this ribosomal RNA (254 nucleotides) under uncultured bacterium. RNAcentral describes it as "partial 16S ribosomal RNA". It matches the Rfam family "Bacterial small subunit ribosomal RNA", at positions 524 to 776 of the family's 1533-position model. The record is from RNAcentral.